GAGAGAGACAUGCGCGCAUAUCAAUAAGCGGAGGAAAAGAAACUAACAAGGAUUCCCUAGUAACGGCGAGUGAAGCGGGAAGAGCUCAAAUUUGAAAUCUUAAAGGUUUUACCUUGACGAAUUGUAGUUUAAAGAAGUGUUUUCUGUUGAGGUUUUGGUAAAAGUUCUUUGGAAUAGGACAUCAUAGAGGGUGAGAAUCCCGUAUUUGACCUUUACUUUCAACUUUGUGAUACACUUUCAAAGAGUCGGAUUGUUUGGGAAUGCAGUCCAAAAUGGGUGGUAAAUUUCAUCUAAAGCUAAAUAUUGGCGAGAGACCGAUAGCGAACAAGUACCGUGAGGGAAAGAUGAAAAGAACUUUGAAAAGAGAGUUAAACAGUACGUGAAAUUGUCAAAAGGGAAGCGUUUGACACCAGUGUUGUUUUUCUGAAAAUCAAUUAAAGAACUGUUUAUGCUAAGUUGUUUAGACUUUAUCAGCUAACUGUUUAGUUUUGAGCUUUUCUUUAAUGCACUUUUCAGUUAACAAGUCAACAUCAAUUUCUUUUGCUGUAAAAAAGCUUGAGGAAGGUGGCUUGAGAUUCGUCUUAAGUGUUUAUAGCCUCUUGCCUAUGCAGUCGGAGAGAUUGAGGUCUGCAGCGUAGAUCCUUCGGGGCUAAAUGCAUUUGUGCUAAGUUAUAGCAUUUUAUAGACAACUUGUUGACUAUGAUUUGUCUUGUAGCUUACUCGCUUAUGUUAUUUUACCUACGCUUAGGAUGUUGAGCGCAUGUCUCUCUCU
This 772-nucleotide ribosomal RNA is filed under the name uncultured Neocallimastigales. RNAcentral describes it as "partial large subunit ribosomal RNA". It matches the Rfam family "Eukaryotic large subunit ribosomal RNA", at positions 23 to 616 of the family's 3401-position model. Lineage: Eukaryota; Fungi; Neocallimastigomycota; Neocallimastigomycetes; Neocallimastigales. The record is from RNAcentral.